UCGGAGAGGGCGCAUGAGAAACGGCUACCACAUCUACGGAUGGCAGCAGGCGCGCAAAUUACCCAAUGCAGACACUGUGAGGUAGUGACGAGAAAUAAUAAAGCGGGACUUCUGUUUCGCUAUUAUAAUGAGGAAUAACCAAAGGUCAUUCCGAUUAGCAACUGAUGGGAAAGUCUGGUGCCAGCAGCCGCGGUAAUACCAGCGUCAGUAGCAUAUAUUAAAAUUGUUGCAGUUAAAACGUCCGUAGUCUGUACGUCGUCCCAAACUCACUGCAGUCUUCCGUUUUCUUAAUUGAAUGCGGUAGUUUCUGCAGUCACUCCCUUGAUCAAAUUAGGUUGUUCAAGGUAGACCAAGUCUUCAUAUUUUCACAUGGAAUUGGGUGAGGGAACUUAAGAGUUUAAGUUUCUCGUCUUAGGAUCAUCCGGGGUCAUUCGUACUCGUCCGCGAGAGGUGAAAUUCUUGGACCGGACGAAGACGACCAGCAGCGAAAGCAUCUGUCAGGGAUGUUUUCUGCGACAAAGGACGAAGGUCAGGGUAUCGAAGACGAUUAGAUACCGUCGUAGUCCUGACUGUAAACUAUGCCAACUUGGGUCUUGCUGGGCGAUGCUUUGUGAGACCCACACAGAAAUGAAAGUGUAUGGGUUCUGGGGGUAGUAUGGACACAAGUCUGAAACUUGAAGGAAUUGACGGAAGAGCACCAUAAGACGUGGAGCUUGCGGCUUAAUUUGACUCAACGCGGGAAAACUUACCAGGUCAAGACAUGGGCGUGAUUGACAGGCUAAUGACUCUUCUCGAUUCCAUGGAUGGUGGUGCAUGGUCGCACUUAGUUGGUGCAGUGAUUUGUCAGGUUUAUUCCGGUAACGAACGAGACCUCGGCCUUGUAAAUAGCUAUGCUGCUUACAGGGACAUUGGCGGCUACGCCAAGGAAGCUCGAGGCAAUUGCAGAUCUGGAAUGCCCUUAGAUGUCCUGGGUCGCACGCGUGCUACAAUGACGCCACGAACGAGCUUGCAUGAUGAAAGUUAUGCAUAAUCAGCAGUCGGCGUCUUAAGGGAUAGUCUCUUGUAACUGUGGGACUCCAACUAGGAAUGUCUCGUAAGCACAAGUCAACAUCUUGUGUUGAUUACGUCCCUGCUCUUUGUACACACCGCCCGUCGCUCCUACCGAUCGAGUGUUUAGGUGAAUUUGAUGGACGUAAGGAAGUCAAAUAAACCUGAGCACUUAGAGGAAGGAGAAGUCGUAACAAGGUAGCCGU
RNAcentral lists this ribosomal RNA (1253 nucleotides) under uncultured marine eukaryote. RNAcentral's name for it is "SSU rRNA". It matches the Rfam family "Eukaryotic small subunit ribosomal RNA", at positions 383 to 1806 of the family's 1831-position model. The record is from RNAcentral.